RNAcentral lists this non-coding RNA (24 nucleotides) under Arabidopsis thaliana (thale cress). Lineage: Eukaryota; Viridiplantae; Streptophyta; Magnoliopsida; Brassicales; Brassicaceae. The record is from RNAcentral.
CAGAAAUACUCCGUUGACAUCUAC